Molecule: long non-coding RNA, 379 nt
Organism: Dendroctonus ponderosae (mountain pine beetle)
Lineage: Eukaryota; Metazoa; Arthropoda; Insecta; Coleoptera; Curculionidae
Exons: 2
Source: RefSeq, a predicted model, not a curated record
AGCGAGAAUGUGAGAUUGUUAAUAAUGUGGAAUGUCCUGGAAAGGGGGUGAUUGUUUGGGAUCCUUGCAAGUGCUCAACUGAGAGAUAUGCCCUGCGGACACAGUCUAAGAAGAAGACGUGGACCCCAUGCGAUGACCAGUUCCUGCACCACAUCGAGGACCAUGGGCUAACUUUAAGUUAGUUAUAGGAAGCAAGAGAGGCUGUUUAGGUUUAGGUUUAGAUUAGGUAAUUAGGUUAGUUUAGAUUUAGUCAUAUGAUGAUAUCUUAAGGUACACAGAGUGUUAGACACUCUAGCGAUGUUAGCAUUAAGGAUCCAUAGAUUAAGUAACAGUAAGAAGUUUGUAUACUUAGCUGAAAAUAAAUAUGUUCCAAAGCAAA